CCGCCUACGAAAACGGUGCACGACGCUCCUCCGUACGACUGUUCUUGUUUCAACCCAUCGUCAGAGCGUCUCGUAGUAACGCGAGCAUCGCGGUCUGACAGCAGCUGUUUUCACUGCCGCUUAAACAAGCCCUGGAUGCUAAUUGAAAUAUCGCGGCCACUAAAAUUCUUGGCAAGUUUCCCUCUCUCGAGCCUGCGAGCUGACGAGCGAGCGACCGGA
Molecule: unclassified non-coding RNA, 219 nt
Filed under: Bombus terrestris (buff-tailed bumblebee)
Lineage: Eukaryota; Metazoa; Arthropoda; Insecta; Hymenoptera; Apidae
Description: misc RNA ENSBTSG00005022928.1
Source: RNAcentral